CAGUCGCCACGGUAAUACGAAGGGUGCAAGCGUUAAUCGGAAUUACUGGGCGUAAAGCGUGCGUAGGCGGUUUGUUAAGUCUGCUGUGAAAUCCCCGGGCUCAACCUGGGAAUGGCAGUGGAUACUGGCAAGCUAGAGUGUGUCAGAGGAUGGUGGAAUUCCCGGUGUAGCGGUGAAAUGCGUAGAGAUCGGGAGGAACAUCAUUGGCGAAGGCGGCCAUCUGGGACAACACUGACGCUGAGGCACGAAAGCGUGGGGAGCAAACAGGAUUAGAUACCCGGGUAGUCCCUGUCUCUUAUAC
This 301-nucleotide ribosomal RNA is filed under the name uncultured bacterium. RNAcentral's name for it is "partial 16S ribosomal RNA". It matches the Rfam family "Bacterial small subunit ribosomal RNA", at positions 509 to 807 of the family's 1533-position model. The record is from RNAcentral.